UAGCUUAGUGGUAAAGUACCUGCUUAGCAUGCAUGAGGCCCUGGGUUCAAUCCCCAG
This 57-nucleotide transfer RNA is filed under the name Heterocephalus glaber (naked mole-rat). It matches the Rfam family "tRNA", at positions 8 to 63 of the family's 71-position model. Rfam says of the family: Transfer RNA (tRNA) molecules are approximately 80 nucleotides in length. The record is from Rfam by way of RNAcentral. Lineage: Eukaryota; Metazoa; Chordata; Mammalia; Rodentia; Bathyergidae.